UUAGGAAUCGUACACAAUGGGCGAAAGCCUGAUGUCGUGACGUCGCGUGGAGGAUGAAGGUUUUCGGAUCGUAAACUCCUUUUUUAUGGGAAGAUUAUGACUGUACCGUAAGAAUAAGCAUCGGCUAACUACGUGCCAGAAGCCUCGGUAAUACGUAGGAUGCGAGCGUUAUCCGGAAUUAUUGGGCGUAAAGAGCGCGUAGGCGGUCUUGUAAGUCUGACCUUAAAUCCCACGGCCCAACCGUGGACUUGGGUUGGAAACUGCUCGACUUGAGUAUUUGCAGGGGCAAGCGGAAUCUGCGGUGUAGGAGUAAAAUCCAUUGAUAUCGCAGAGAACACCAAUGGCGAAGGCAGCUUGCUGGGCAUUCACUGACGCUGAGGCGCGAAAGCGUGGGUAGCGAACGGG
RNAcentral lists this ribosomal RNA (405 nucleotides) under uncultured bacterium. RNAcentral describes it as "bacterial SSU rRNA". It matches the Rfam family "Bacterial small subunit ribosomal RNA", at positions 355 to 776 of the family's 1533-position model. The record is from RNAcentral.